UAAUAGUGUAUAUUAAAGUUGUUGCAGUUAAAAAGCUCGUAGUUGAAUGUUGGUGUCGAACGAGCGGUCAGCUUCGGCUGUACUGCUCUCUCGACUCCUUCCUUCUGUGGACUACGUCGCACUUUACUGUGUGGCGCUAGGACGCAGAUCGUUUACUGUGAAAAAAUUAGAGUGUUCAAGGCAGGCCGUACGCUUGAAUACAUUAGCAUGGAAUAAUGGAAUAGGACGUCGGGCCUAUUUUGUUGGUUCUAGGACCGUCGUAAUGAUUAAUAGGGACAGUUGGGGCCGUUUAUAUUCCGUAGUCAGAGGUGAAAUUCUUGGAUUUACGGAAGAUAAACUACUGCGAAAGCAUUCGGCAAGGAUGUUUUCGUUAA
Molecule: ribosomal RNA, 374 nt
Filed under: uncultured eukaryote
Lineage: Eukaryota
Description: partial 18S ribosomal RNA
Rfam family: Eukaryotic small subunit ribosomal RNA
Source: RNAcentral